Molecule: long non-coding RNA, 5644 nt
Organism: Centrocercus urophasianus (Greater sage-grouse)
Lineage: Eukaryota; Metazoa; Chordata; Aves; Galliformes; Phasianidae
Exons: 6
Source: RefSeq, a predicted model, not a curated record
UUUGCAUGCGAGGAGGAGCCGUGCGACGGCAGUGGCGAGCGGGGCUGCGCGGCUUUGAAGAGCGUUGAUACCGCAAAGGAAUGCAGCGUGCAGAGCGUGCUUUAGGCUUUGCGAGCAGCUGAUGUAAUUUGCUGGCAAAUUGAAUUUGGGGGCGCAGAGAAAAUCAAAUCAGGGACAGAAAAGUGAUAAGAAUGCUGAGCAAGGGCUUGUCUUAGGAGUCACAGACGAAGACUGAUUUUGCAGCUGUAGGAGUGGCAGAGCGCUCCCAGCUGCCGGGAAACCAAAAUCAAGAGAUGAGGAGGUACUGGAAGGCACAAAUACCCAGCGGUUGCCCUUAUUUUCUUUCCUGGAGACCAGGAGUCCACGCUGGGGAAAUGAGCACACUGUCGUGGUCCUUUCAUGUGGCUCAAACCUUGCUGUACAUUACCCCAAGGCUGGCCCCCAGGCUGGGUGUGGAAGGUGCCUCUGGUGAACAGGUGUGAUGGCAUUGCCUGCUGACCAUCCCCAGAGCAGCCCUAUGGACCAUGAGGCAAGGCACAGCAGGUUCAGGUUCACAGUGCCAUGUUAUGUUUGGCAUUCCCUCUUGUGAAAUGUCUGUUACUGGGAAAGGGACAGCGUUGGCUGGGGCUGCUGGUUAGCAAUGGACCACACAGCUAGAUACGUUCCUGUGACACUGCUGUUUGCAGCUAUGACAUGUGCAGGAGUACUGUGAAUGCUUUAUAAAAAGUAGUGAAGAGAAAUGGAAGUGGAAAUUAGGAGAUGAGAAGUUUAUGGAAGUGACUUGUGACAGCUGCAUGCAAAGGUGAAAGAUACUCAACACCUUAGAUGGGAAAAGAGCUCAGAUCUGCUUGAUGUGAACUUCCAUGUGGAUAUUUUGAUGUUAAAACAUAGACUCUGUAUAAAGUCAGUACAGAAUCAAGUUUUUAACAGGAAAGCUGCUUAGCUUCUAUGAGGCUCUUUUUGAAAUGUUCAGAAUGACGGAACUGAUAAGAAAUGAACACUUCAGGAAUUGAUCAUAUUCUGGAACGUUUUUCAAGUGAAGUAUGUUGUUAGAAAUGAUCAUCUUUGAAAAUGCCUUAAGAAAACUUAUUUUUUGCAUAUUUCUGACAUAAUUCUGUAUUCAUUCUAUAUUCCAGAGAAUGCAGUAUCAUCUUGGUUGAUCACUAUAUGGUAAAAGGCUGUAGUUUAGCUCAAACUAAACUUUUUGGAGGCAGGCUGUUAACUUUCCUGCAUGGGAUUUUUCCUUAGGAUGCUACCUCCCUUAGAGGCCAGAAAUGGGAGCUCUCCUUUCAUUUACAUCCUCCUCCUUCCAUAAACUGAGGAGAAGGGGAAUAGAGUAUAGCCCUGGUUUGUGCCCUGGAAGGUCUUUGCCCAGCCACAGCUGUCACCAGCCAGGUGCCAUGUGUCUGUGAUGCCUUACCUGGAAAUAGUGGCAGUGUGAUAAUAUGAAAUAUGAUGCUUUCAUCGUAUUUCUGCCUGUUUCCUUGCCUACUCAGUCCAUGAACUUUCCAAAUAGCUGACUACAGCCCUUCAUCUUACAGGGGGAAAAGUCUUAUAUCUCCCUAAUAAAAUGAGACAUCUAAAGGGAGCUGGGAAUCCCCUUGGGAGCAAAUGGAACUCAUCAUAGCAAACUGCUGUUAAAUUUGGCUUUAAAAUUUUGUAGUUCAGCUGACAAAUCUACAGAUGUCAAUACCAGCAGCACUGAUACAAGAAGCACUGGGAAUCUUUGAGAAGACAUCUAACAGUAGCAACAGAAACAGAUUAGGAGUCUGGUGCAUUUUGUCCUCCUCAUACAUCGGCACGCACUCUCAGUAGUGAGCUGCUCAGGCAACAAAUUGCUGGCAGGUGUGCAACGACAAGCCUGUCUAGAUAGGCUUAAAUCAUCCCUGGUGGUUGCACCUGUGUGUUUAUGGUCAGUACAAGUAUAAAUUUGAUAGAAUUUAGCUAGGAUACCCACUAGUUGAAAAUAUCUUUAAAAACAAGCAAGCCAACAGGCUCAACUGGAGUUGUUUGCCCCUGGCCUGCUAACUUUAUGUAAGAGGUGUGGGCAGACAGGUGUAACAGGCUAUGGGGAAACAUCAAGUGUGUACCAGAAGGAAUCUGCGAAUUCAUUAUUUUUCCUUCGUUUUUAUGUUUUGUUUAAACUGCCAUAUGUAACAGCUUUGGUGAUUUCCAUGUUUUAAGAAUGAGCAAUGGAUGUUCUAAACCCUGCUGUAGAAAAGGUGUUGGAGUCUCAAAAAUUGCUAUGUGCAUUUUGUGUCAUCGCCCAGCGCUGGUAAACACAUAAAGAGCAAAGGAGUAUCUGCAGCUGCUACAAGUUGAGACUUACUGAAGUCAAUCCCUUCUUCAAGAAUCUGUAUCCAUUUCUCUACUUGGCAUGAAUACGAAUUGAUAUGAAUUCAACGGACAACUGUUCUUCUUUGGAGUUAAUUCUAUCUUCGUUUGUGAAUUUAUGCAUCGAAUAAAUAAAACAUGAACAGCAGCAAUGUGAUCAUUCACCAGAGAUGUAUCCAUCCUGAAUCAGAGUAAACUGUGACAGGUAAAAUCCAGCCUUUCAUUUCUGUUGGAAUGCAGCUGGCCAACCUCCCUUACCCUCUGAGCCACCUUACCAGGGUAAAGGGGCUAUGAACUUUGCAGAGGUUUACAAGUGGCACCUGACAUCCCAUCAGUCUGCUUCAAGCGCAAUGCUUUUAUUUUGAGACUACUGGAGAUGAAAUCUGGGAAUCUUCUGUGUGCCAAAGUCUUCCUGUAGAAUAUGGAGCUCCAUCAAAAUUGAGCUGGUGUGAAACUGCCCUGAGCAUAGGAAGACCAUGAAGUAGCAGCAAAGGCAGGAAGGGCCCCAGGACAGCGCGCUGAACCAAAUAAAAGCUCCUCCUUCGAAACAGCCUACAAGUGCCUGCAGUACAAGUGCCUGCUGUACCACCACUCUCAUCUCUGAAACCAGUUUCUCCAUCACCCGACAACUGAUGCAGAAGUUGCUGUAGUCAGGCAACACAAUGCCACAGCAGCACCCUGGGAACAGAGGAGCAGUUAUUUUCACCACAGCUUUCCAAUUUGGUUUAGCUCUGUCAGGCAAGGAAAGCACGUGCCACUUUCCAGCAAGAACUCAUUCAGCUUGAGCAUCUCCGUAUGAAACAACUAAUGGAACAGAAAGGCAAUGAGAAGAAAUCCACCAAGGACUACUGGGAAGUGAAGCUGCAGUCCUGCAAAGCGUGCUUAUUAAUGCCACAGGAGAGGGACAGCAAUUCAAAAUCUGUUUUUCAGGACCGUCAGCUGAACUAACGUGAACAGAGAUGCACGUGUGGUAAAGCAUCCUUCCUGCCACUCCAUCAGACUGCGAAUCAUUUAAGAUUUAUCACUGCUGAUGAGAGAUACCUGACCUCACAUAACUCUGCACAGAACUUUGUUGUAACAGUUGCAGUUAAAUAAAGUGUUACUUCUCUUAAGUCUUAAAUAAAAGAACAGUGGAAAACACUGGGAAGAAAUAAGCCUUACCCCUCAUACUGACCUGUUCGAGCGUCUUGCCAGCCCACCCAAUGGCCUUCAUCUUCCUUCUUAUCUCCCAUUGCUUCUGAUAGGACAGAAUGCGGUUAAGAGGCCAGGGGUAAGGAGAGCCAUACCUCGGGUGAGUAAUCUUUGUUAAGAAACAGAAAGUUACUUUGUUACAAUCUAAAAAUGCAGGCAGCUCUAUUUACAAAACAGCUAAGAGAGCAAUAAAGAAAAAGAAUGUUGUGUGAUACGUUGCAAUUAUUUGUGCAGAAUUUAUUGUUUUCAGUAUAACCAUUUGAAAUUAUUACCUUGGAAAGAUAUGCAAAACUCAUAUUUGUUCUGCAGUCACAUACCUCCAGUAAAGUUACAACUUCCCUGAAAUGUAUACGCAAGCAGAAUUCAAGUGAGAAGACUGUAUCAUUAACGGAGCUCAAUGUUUCAUUUAUGAGUAGGGACUUCCAUUUGUGAGCAAAAGUGUUUUCUCAUUAAAUUUUAAUUAAGAUAAAUGUUGCAGAACCACUCACCUCCUCUACUGUAACAUCAUCACACCACUGCAGAUAGAGCUAGGAACAGAAAGAGCACUUACUACAACUUCCUAAUAAACGAGAAUACAGAUACAAUCAUUUCUCACUAGUAGAAUUUUCCUUUCUGUAUUAGAUUAAAUUUCCAUUUGGUGCCUUCUAUUAGACUUCUGAACACAGUGAAGAAAUUAAAACCAGAGUCACAAGCCCAGCUCCAAGUUGCUGGCUCGCAAGCAGCGGAACCAAGCUGGAGCCAAAGGCCUGCUGCAGUUGCCUGUGCCACACACAGCUCAACACCCAGCCAUGUGCCUGCGAGCAUUUCCAGCACUGGCCCCACGGCCCCACAUCACAUUAACAGGCCAUGGGCACGACCCGCGGGGCAGGCCAGCCUCCAGCAAGGCACAGCAGCUGUGUGGAAGGCGGCAGUGGGGCUGCACAGCCAGCAAGGACUGCUGGCGUUUUCCAUCCGUGCAAAUCAGGCACUUCUACAGCUACAGGGCGUGCUUCAGACAGGUAAAUGGAGCUGUACACAUGGCUUGUGUCUGCAGGAAUAUGUCAUCAAGUAGUCCACAGGAUCCACAGAAUUUAUUCCUGUCUCAUUUCACCAUAAAAACUGAUGACCUGAUCAAAGAUUUUAAUCUAAGAACAAACAGUAUUUCCAGAACAAGAAAAUAUCAUGAAGCAUUCUUGCCUAUAAUCCCUUAUGGAAGUAUGAGCAGUAACUAUGGUUUGCUGUACCUCCGCUGUCAGGAGCAUAUUAUUGACUAAUUCCAUGUAGGCUUUCAUCUCAGCUUUUUGGACUUCAUCCAACCCAUCGCUGAGAGAAUGGCCCUAAUGGGGAAAGAAAGAGACACGUAAGAGAGGAUAUUGGAAUAUUCAGCAGUGCCUGACCCAAAGACCUCAGAAGUCAAUGAGCUUUGGUUCAGAUACUGAUCUGUCACACAACACGUCACAAGUUACACACGUACUCUCUACAUAAAGUGCCCUUUAGAAUGAAAAAGAAAUAAUCGUAAUGUAACAGAACUGAUCUGCAAUAAAUGUAGUUAUUACCAGUCAGAGGUGAGCACACAGCCUGUGUCAAGAAGUAAACACAGAUUUACAUCUGUGCUACAGCUUUAUGAAGUGCUCAGUGAGAAGACAAUGUUGUUGAAAAUACAACUUCAAAAUUUACACCAGUGAUUUCUGGGUUUAAAAAUUCAGAGACAGAGACGUAGAAAACCAGCUGCAGAAACUGGCAGUGGCACGCACGUGUCCUGCACAGAAUUUGCUUCCUGAAUUUGAGGUAAUGUUAAAUUGAAACAUUUCCACCUCGGCACUCUCACUUCAGAGCGUCUUUCUUUUGAACCAGCACCAGAUUGCUGCACCGUUGUAACAAUGAAGUAACAUUCCAGCAGAGCACAGCAACUGCACAGCAGUGCUAAAGAAGACUGGUAAGGAACCCAGUAAUAGAUGCAGACUGUGUGUAAUUACCUUGGCUUUCACAAACUGGACUAUGGGCCCGAGUUCAGAUACUACUUGGUUUCCCACAUGAAUAAAGGGCACUUUGCCUGUAAAAUGAGAAAUGUAUUUUAUUAGGAGCUUUUUAUACAUGUCAACUAUAAUUUCCUAUUUUCAGUGCAAUUAAAUAUCACAAG